AUCACUAAACUAUUGAAAUAACAACAAAAAAGCCAAAAAAUAUAUUUUAAAGCUAAAUCAACAUUCAAAUAUCCGAUUUAAGGAAUAAAUCAUUUGAAAACUCACCUCCACUGCUGCAUGAAUGCUGAUACAAAACCACCAAACCCAUAAACCACGCAAAUUCACUCAUCUCACCGAACUUCGACUACAACUGCAAUUUCAGAUUACUCCAACUGCAACAGAUUCAGCUUCCGCAUUUCAAACUGUGUUUCAUCGGCAAGCAUCAUCAACAUAAGUAUGGAUGUGUGUAUAUCAACUCUACCAAUACAUGCAUUGAAACUAGUAUCUUCGUGCAUACACUUUCGCUUUACUAUUGCCUAACGCCUCAUAUACGUAAUUGGAUUUUAAGCGUAGCAAAAUUACUAAAAAGAAAAUAAAAUGUAUUCAUGUAAAAAACUGCGAUAAUUUCUAGAAGCCAAUCAAACCGAGGAGACCUUAACGGAUUUGGCACACUCAAGCAUUUUAGUUUUGAAGAAACGGCUGUAGGUUAUUUUUACAUGAAAUCAAACUGUUCGGAAAGCGCUUAUAUCAUUACGUGAAAAAAUUACAAAACCUAUGGAAACUCAC
Rhagoletis zephyria (snowberry fruit fly) is the source of this 606-nucleotide long non-coding RNA. RefSeq lists it as uncharacterized. NCBI's taxonomy places the organism in Eukaryota, Metazoa, Arthropoda, Insecta, Diptera, Tephritidae. The record is from RefSeq and is a predicted model, not a curated record.